UCCUUUGUGCUGUGUGUGAGA
Molecule: microRNA, 21 nt
Filed under: Marek's disease virus serotype 2 MDV2
Lineage: Duplodnaviria; Heunggongvirae; Peploviricota; Herviviricetes; Herpesvirales; Orthoherpesviridae
Description: mdv2-miR-M26-5p
Gene: mdv2-miR-M26-5p
Source: miRBase by way of RNAcentral